This 371-nucleotide ribosomal RNA is filed under the name uncultured organism. RNAcentral's name for it is "bacterial SSU rRNA". It matches the Rfam family "Bacterial small subunit ribosomal RNA", at positions 526 to 896 of the family's 1533-position model. The record is from RNAcentral.
CAGAGGGUGCGAGCGUUAAUCGGAAUUACUGGGCGUAAAGCGCACGUAGUCGGCUUUGCAAGUCGGGUGUGAAAUCCCCGGGCUCAACCUGGGAACUGCAUCCGAGACUGCAUUGCUAGAGUAUGGGAGAGGGAAGCGGUAUUUCUGGUGUAGCAGUGAAAUGCGUAGAUAUCAGAAGGAACAUCAGUGGCGAAGGCGGCUUCCUGGACCAAUACUGACGAUCAGGUGCGAAAGCGUGGGGAGCAAACAGGAUUAGAUACCCUGGUAGUCCACGCCCUAAACGAUGAGAACUGGAUGUCGGGAGGGUUUGCCUUCCGGUGUCGUAGCUAACGCGUUAAGUUCUCCGCCUGGGAAGUACGGCCGCAAGGUUG